UGGGGAAUAUUGGGCAAUGGGUGAAAGCCUUACCCAGCAACGCCGCGUGAGGGAAGAAGGUUUUCGGAUUGUAAACCUCUGUCCUGGGGGGACGAAGGGAAAGUGACGGUACCCCGGGGAGGAAGCCCCGGGCUAACUACGUGCCAGCAGCCGCGGUAAUACGUAGGGGGCGAGCGUUGUCCGGAAUUAUUGGGCGUAAAGGGGCGCGUAGACGGCCGAGUAAGUUAUAGGUGAAAGCCCAUCUUUCAAGGAUGGAAUUGCCUGUAAUACUGCCUGGCUUGAGUGCAGGAGAGGGAAGCGGAAUUCCUAGUGUAGCGGUGAAAUGCGUAGAUAUUAGGAGGAACACCAGUGGCGAAGGCGGCUUUCUGGACUGUAACUGACGUUGAGGCGCGAAAGCGUGGGGAGCAAACAGGAUUAGAUACC
RNAcentral lists this ribosomal RNA (423 nucleotides) under uncultured bacterium. Its description in RNAcentral is "bacterial SSU rRNA". It matches the Rfam family "Bacterial small subunit ribosomal RNA", at positions 355 to 786 of the family's 1533-position model. The record is from RNAcentral.